CGGUGGCCGAGUGGAUAACGCGAUGGCGUUUGAAGCGAAAGGUACUGGGUUCGAGUCCAAGAGUGAA
Molecule: transfer RNA, 67 nt
Filed under: Schistosoma mansoni
Lineage: Eukaryota; Metazoa; Platyhelminthes; Trematoda; Strigeidida; Schistosomatidae
Source: RNAcentral